CGUGGUUCCCGAGCGGCCAAAGGGAGCAGACUGUAAAUCUGCCGUCAUCGACUUCGAAGGUUCGAAUCCUUCCCCCACCACCA
This 83-nucleotide transfer RNA is filed under the name Klebsiella pneumoniae. Its description in RNAcentral is "tRNA-Tyr". It matches the Rfam family "tRNA". Rfam says of the family: Transfer RNA (tRNA) molecules are approximately 80 nucleotides in length. Their secondary structure includes four short double-helical elements and three loops (D, anti-codon, and T loops). Further hydrogen bonds mediate the characteristic L-shaped molecular structure. tRNAs have two regions of fundamental functional importance: the anti-codon, which is responsible for specific mRNA codon recognition, and the 3' end, to which the tRNAs corresponding amino acid is attached (by aminoacyl-tRNA synthetases). tRNAs cope with the degeneracy of the genetic code in two manners: having more than one tRNA (with a specific anti-codon) for a particular amino acid; and 'wobble' base-pairing, i.e. permitting non-standard base-pairing at the 3rd anti-codon position. Lineage: Bacteria; Pseudomonadati; Pseudomonadota; Gammaproteobacteria; Enterobacterales; Enterobacteriaceae. The record is from RNAcentral.